This 617-nucleotide long non-coding RNA is filed under the name Pan troglodytes (chimpanzee). RNAcentral describes it as "long non-coding RNA NONPTRT000416". Lineage: Eukaryota; Metazoa; Chordata; Mammalia; Primates; Hominidae. The record is from RNAcentral.
GGAGAACCCUAGACUGCAUGCAGCCAUGCACAUGAUCUGGAGACACAGCAGAGACAAGGUCUUUGUCUGUUGCUCAGGAUGGAGUGUAGUGGUGCCAUAGCACACUGUAAUCUUGAAUUUCUGGACUACUGGCAUACACCACCAUGCUUAGGUUCGGGCCACAACAUCCGUGACUUUACCGGUUUUGGUCUCUUCCUUGUAACCUUCGGCUCCAGGAUGCUGCGCAGUUCCUCUCUGCACUAUCUAUCAGAAUGUUGCUCUGCGUGCUUGAAAGUUUCACCAAACAGAAGUACACAAGAACAAACAGAGGUGAAACACAAAUCCCCUCAGCCCUGGAGGAAAAGGCCUUGAAGCUCUUCCAGUGCAGAGGCCACGCAGAGGACAUGCUCCUACCUGUGCACAUCAGCCACGCCUGGGGUGCCUCCUGGAGUCCAGACUGCUGGCGAUGGAAUCCAUCAUGUUGCUGAUGUCACUACUCUCAACUCCUGAUGGCAUCAGAACACAGGCAGCAUCAAGAUCAGGCUCAAGAUGCAGGAUUUUAUCAUCCAAAUCAGGCCCACAUAUGGAUGAAACCCUUCAGGUUUUUCUAUUCUCAUUAACAGUGUCCUCAAGAUCUU